GCUUAUAGUGAUUGUGGACAGCAGUUUUGAUAGUUUCUGCUUAUCCUGGGAGUUGGAAGGUUGAAAAAACUGUUAUAUAUCAAUUAAGUGGAAGUUUUUGAUUACUUUUGCUAAUUGAGAAAAGUCAACACUGCCUGAAUCUGCUGGAUGCAAGUUCAGAUAACCCAUCUACAGGCUCCAGGCCAUAUGCUGAUGCAGAGGAAACCAAGAAAACUGGUAUGAAUAUGUGACGGAAGCGAACUUUGUAGACUCGGUAUCUUAUCAUUUUUCACAAAAUUUAAAGUCAUCCACCAUUUGGAAUCUACUGUUGGGGGAGCGGGAAGUGGACAAGAUCAUCCAAGAGGCGUAGCCAGAUUUUAAUGCCUAUACUUUUGUAAUUUGAGUAGAUUUGUAAUGCCUAUACUUUUGUAAAUUGAGUGCUUUUUAAUUGCCAUUACCUUUGUCAUUUUAUGAUGUUUUAAAGGUUUUACUUGAGUAAUUUAAAUAGUUUUAUUAUUGCGUAGCUCGUCCCAUUUCCUCGAAACUUCUUAAGCAUAACGGACUUAAAGGUGCUGUACUCUGUAUGAUGAAAUGGCAGAAAAAAAAGAUAAUUGUCGAAAACUGACAUAAACUUGGCAUCAAUGUGUAUAAUGCAUUGAAACUUACUAACUGAAGUACCACAUUAUAAGUUUACAAUUUAUUUAAGUUAAGCAGUUAUUUCGUAUUUUUCAAUUAAAAAGAUUACUGAGUAUGUCUUCCAGGUAGAAUUCAUUCCUUAUGCCUGAUUGGUUAGUCGAUGUUAUCAUGUGAUAUUACCGAGGUAGGUAUAUAGCUUAAUUAUGUCACCCAAUUAGAGUAAGCCUUCAUAGCUCAGUGGAUACGACGCUGGACUGCAAUUUUGGCGACACGGUUUCGAACCCGGUCUCCGACACAAUUUUUUUUACAUUUUGGUACCUUUUUUUUACUAUUAUGAUAUCAAAGCGUAACUCAUUCUAUAAGAUAAUUUUUCUGAGAAUCGUUACAGAAAAAAAACGUUUUUUUGUGCAAAUCUGGUGAACAGUCCCUUUAAGUAGCUUAUUUCAGAAACAUUGUUUAUUGUAGUUGACAAUUCUUAUAUAAAGUAAAACAAUUAAUACUCAAAAGUAGUAAAUAUUGUGCAAAAACAAAAAAGUGAGCUUAGCUUAGUCCUGUUAUCAGGGACUUAUGAAGUUUCAAGAAAUUGGGGCAAUCCUGUUUGUAAUUUAAAUAUUUUUAUUAUUUUUUUGAUGCCUUUAUUUUUGUUGAGUAUUUUUUUAAUUAAGACUUUUAGUUUGAUCCCUGAUGUGUUGCAUAUUGUAUUUUAUUGCUGUUGGCAUGGUAACAUUGUUAAUAUCAAUUAAAGUAUAAUCAUGAUAUUACUAGAAAUUUGUCACCACUGAGAUACUGU
Mya arenaria is the source of this 1405-nucleotide long non-coding RNA. RefSeq lists it as uncharacterized. NCBI's taxonomy places the organism in Eukaryota, Metazoa, Mollusca, Bivalvia, Myida, Myidae. The record is from RefSeq and is a predicted model, not a curated record. The transcript has 3 exons.